AUUGAACGCUGGCGGCAGGCCUAACACAUGCAAGUCGAACGGUAGCACAGAGGAGCUUGCUCCUUGGGUGACGAGUGGCGGACGGGUGAGUAAUGUCUGGGAAACUGCCCGAUGGAGGGGGAUAACUACUGGAAACGGUAGCUAAUACCGCAUAACGUCGCAAGACCAAAGAGGGGGACCUUCGGGCCUCUUGCCAUCGGAUGUGCCCAGAUGGGAUUAGCUAGUAGGUGGGGUAACGGCUCACCUAGGCGACGAUCCCUAGCUGGGCUGAGAGGAUGACCAGCCACACUGGAACUGAGACACGGUCCAAACUCCUACGGGAGGCAGCAGUGGGGAAUAUUGCACAAUGGGCGCAAGCCUGAUGCAGCCAUGCCGCGUGUAUGAAGAAGGCCUUCGGGUUGUAAAGUACUUUCAGCGAGGAGGAAGGCGUUGUGGUUAAUAACCGCAACGAUUGACGUUACUCGCAGAAGAAGCACCGGCUAACUCCGUGCCAGCCGCCGCAGUAA
RNAcentral lists this ribosomal RNA (506 nucleotides) under uncultured bacterium. Its description in RNAcentral is "partial 16S ribosomal RNA". It matches the Rfam family "Bacterial small subunit ribosomal RNA", at positions 30 to 523 of the family's 1533-position model. The record is from RNAcentral.